AUUGAACGCUGGCGGCAUGCCUUACACAUGCAAGUCGAACGGUAACGCGGGGCAACCUGGCGACGAGUGGCGAACGGGUGAGUAAUACAUCGGAACGUGCCCAGUAGUGGGGGAUAGCCCGGCGAAAGCCGGAUUAAUACCGCAUACGACCUACGGGUGAAAGCGGGGGACCGGCAAGGCCUCGCGCUAUUGGAGCGGCCGAUGUCAGAUUAGGUAGUUGGUGGGGUAAAGGCCUACCAAGCCUACGAUCUGUAGCUGGUCUGAGAGGACGACCAGCCACACUGGGACUGAGACACGGCCCAGACUCCUACGGGAGGCAGCAGUGGGGAAUUUUGGACAAUGGGCGAAAGCCUGAUCCAGCCAUGCCGCGUGCGGGAAGAAGGCCUCGG
Molecule: ribosomal RNA, 389 nt
Filed under: uncultured bacterium
Lineage: Bacteria
Description: bacterial SSU rRNA
Rfam family: Bacterial small subunit ribosomal RNA
Source: RNAcentral